GGAGUUUUCAAAUGCGGCUCCUGCAAGGCCUGCAAAUUUAUUAAUACAUCCAAAACUGUAUUUUGUACCAGAACCAAAAACAGUUACCCAGUACGUGACUUCAUUAAUUGCAGCACUACAAAAAUAGUAUAUGUCAUUACCUGGAGUUGUAAUCUAGCGUACUUUGGUAAAACUUACCAACAAUUUCGUAGACGCAUAUUACAACACGUCAAUUCACUACCAAAAUAU
This is a non-coding RNA of Pelobates cultripes (western spadefoot toad), 228 nucleotides long. The record is from the annotation of a GenBank genome assembly. Lineage: Eukaryota; Metazoa; Chordata; Amphibia; Anura; Pelobatidae.